Molecule: unclassified non-coding RNA, 216 nt
Filed under: soil metagenome
Description: partial contains 5.8S ribosomal RNA, internal transcribed spacer 2, and large subunit ribosomal RNA
Source: RNAcentral
AACUGAUACUACCUGCGGGAACCUGCGGAGGGAUCAUUAUCGAGUUUACAACUCCCAAACCAUUGUGAAUCUUACCUUUUCGUUGCUUCGGCGGGAUCGCCCCGGGCGCUUCGGUGCCCCGGAUUCAGGCGCCCGCCGGGGGACCUAAACUCUUGUAUUAUAGUGGAUUUCUGAGUGGAUUACACAAAUAAUCAAAACUUUCAACAAUGGAUCUCU